This 449-nucleotide ribosomal RNA is filed under the name uncultured bacterium. RNAcentral's name for it is "partial 16S ribosomal RNA". It matches the Rfam family "Bacterial small subunit ribosomal RNA", at positions 28 to 523 of the family's 1533-position model. The record is from RNAcentral.
GACGAACGCUGGCGGCAGGCCUAACACAUGCAAGUCGAACGCCCUAGCAAUAGGGAGUGGCAGACGGGUGAGUAACGCGUGGGAACGUGCCUUUCGGUUCGGAUUAACUCAGGGAAACUUGAGCUAAUACCGGAUACGCCCUUCGGGGGAAAGAUUUAUUGCCGAAAGAUCGGCCCGCGUCCGAUUAGCUAGUUGGUGAGGUAAAGGCUCACCAAGGCGACGAUCGGUAGCUGGUCUGAGAGGAUGAUCAGCCACACUGGGACUGAGACACGGCCCAGACUCCUAAGGGAGGAAGCAGUGGGGAAUAUUGGACAAUGGGCGCAAGCCUGAUCCAGCCAUGCCGCGUGAGUGAUGAAGGCCCUAGGGUUGUAAAGCUCUUUCGCCAGGGACGAUAAUGACGGUACCUGGAUAAGAAGCCCCGGCUAACUUCGUGCCAGCCGCCGCGGUAA